Molecule: long non-coding RNA, 1870 nt
Organism: Cyprinus carpio (common carp)
Lineage: Eukaryota; Metazoa; Chordata; Actinopteri; Cypriniformes; Cyprinidae
Source: Ensembl
GUCAUGGUCUUAUGUUUGAUAGGUUGUUCCUCAAUUUGACAGGAAAAGGUCGUAAAGUUCACCAAAGUCAGUCCAGAUAUUUAGAAAAUAUUUGAACAAGAGAGGAAAAUGAAGCUGAUUUUCUUUCUUCUUGUCCUCUUGAAAAGCGGUGAGAAUGUUUUUUCUGUUCUUAAGAUUAUGAGCUAAAUCUGACAUUUGACUGAAUCCAUGAUUAUAUGUAAUUCUCUGUUUAAAUUUAAUAGCAGACAUUUGACCUAUUUUAACUGAAUUGCAAAAAUUUUGUGGGUUAACCUUAAUUAUUUUAUUGGUACUUAAAUGUAUUUGUAUGAUUUUGAUAAUAAGAUAAUUAUAUAAUUAUCAUAAUAACACUACAAAUUAAACUCAAUAUUUUAAGCAGCGAUAAAAGAUGGGAUUGUCUAUCAUCUCAGUCAUCUUUAAACUAAGAAAACAUUAAUGUUCGGUAAAUGUUUUACAGGAAUGAAUUCAACAGAAGGACUCGAUGUGUUUUAUUCAUCAGAGAGAAUUAUUUUAAAAUAUUUCUUUAACCCAUCCCUUCAAAGUCAUGAAAAAUCUUGCUGUAAGUUCAGUCAGUCAGGCUGCUUCCUCUUUGUGAAUAAUAGAAGACAAUUUGCCUCCAUGUAUCGAGGAAGAAUAUUCGUCACAAAUAACAAUGGAGAAUUUGAAGUAAUAAUUACAAAUCUGAGUGUAAUGGAUGCUGGGAGGUAUGGAUGUGGUUUCAGUGGGUUCCCUCAGACCUAUGAGUAUGUGGAAGUUACCGUUUCUGAUCUAAGUGGGGUAAACACAGCUCCUCUCUUGCCAAAAUCCGUCAUUAUACCAACAGUCAGGCCGUCUUCUUCUCCCUCUGCACCCAUUGCUUCUGAGAAUGAUGCAGAGACACUCAGCAGUGGCAGCUGGAGAACAUCCUUCAGUCUAGCUGCUGUUUUUAGUCUUCUGGUGUUUGCUGUCAUCUCAAUGACACUGCUCGUGUAUUGUCUAAAAACCAGGAAGAAAAAAUCCACAGAUAAAAGUGAAGUCUGUGGUUCUCCUAACACCACACUGGAGCAGGACGGCAUUAUCUACUCUAUGGUGGAGUUUAAGCCCUGCCAGGAUCCAUAUGAACUUUAUGCCAAUUUGCAGCUAUACAGCCCAAAAGAUGCUAAUGCUUCUUCAAGCUGUACAGUCACAGUAAAGGAAACCGCAGAAUAUUCCACUAUUACGAGAGCAUCAGCAUAAACAUUUGCAAUGUUUGUGUUCAAUGUAUUCAUUGCUAUGAUUUGUUUUUGUUGUUGUUGCUUUUGUUUGCUUGAGGGAUUUGUUUCUUACAAGAUUUUUUUAACUAUAUUUUUAAUGCAACAUUGUACUGAUACUGUAGUAAUUAUUUUAUUCUUGAAAAUGUCAUUAUGAUGAUUAAUGCCUGGAAAUUUCUAUAUAGUAAAAUGUGUAUUAUCUAAAAAUAAGUUACUUUUAACUCUUAAACAAUUUAUGUAUUUUGACUCAUGUGGGUGUUUGACUUAGAAAGACAUACACAGGAUGACAAUUUGUGAUGCAAUAAUUAUAAUUUUAUUUUGGAUGUACAGAGAAACUUUCAAUCAUGAAUCUCUAUUUAGAUGUCGAAAUAGGUGAAAACCAGUUUUUGCAAUCCAGUGCUUCUUUAGGCAGCAAAAUGUAGGCCCAUCAGAAUCUACAAAUUCUCUUUGAGCGAGGCAACAUAAACAUAUGUGGUGACAGAUGCUGUAUGUGAUGUACUGUAUUAUGUUCGAAUCGAAUAGGAUUUAAGGGAUACUGGGAUAAUCAAGGACGCUCAAAUGAAUCAAGACUACCAGUUUACAUUAACCAUAUCAAAUAAAUUCAGCAAUGAGAUUUUAUGGCA